AAGUCGUAACAAGGUUUCCGUAGGUGAACCUGCGGAAGGAUCAUUAAUGAGUCUUUGAAGUGGGUUUGAUGCUGGUCUUUCGAGGCAUGUGCUCGCCCUAUUCUCAUCCACUCACACCUGUGCACCUUACGUUUAAGAAGUGGUUGUUGCCUCCCUUCGGGUUGGCAGGUUAGGGAAACCUAGCUAUGGCCCUUCUUUGCGUUACUUUACACAAACUCUUGAAUGUCAUAGAAUGUCUAUUGGCCUACGGGCUUUAAUUUAAAUACAACUUUCAACAACGGAUCUCUUGGCUCUC
This 295-nucleotide unclassified non-coding RNA is filed under the name air metagenome. RNAcentral's name for it is "partial contains small subunit ribosomal RNA, internal transcribed spacer 1, and 5.8S ribosomal RNA". The stretch from base 1 to 46 matches the Rfam family "Eukaryotic small subunit ribosomal RNA", at positions 1786 to 1831 of the family's 1831-position model. The record is from RNAcentral.